ACUUGUGCCAUUACGUAGUACAACAAUUCUGCUUGUGAUGGAACUGAUCCAGUCCCAUAAAUCGGGUACUUUGAGAUAAGUAGAACGAUGCUCGCCUAGAAAUUAAUUGUAUUCUUAAAAACUUAAUGACAUUCUUAAUUGCUUGGUGACGAACGACUUGGCUUCUUUUGGGCUCAAGUGUAAACUAUCAAAAUUUCAAUGGAACAUGAUUCGCAGAAGGAAUUCAGGUCAUGGACGAAUUGAGCAUCAAUUCAAGUGAGCUUCUUCCAGCAUGGCUCUUAUUUGAGAAGCCGACAUGCUCAGCUGGUGAGCCGUUCGAUAAUGGAUUACUCGUUUAUCCUCCUGCCCCGUGGUUUUGGAGCAAAAUUGGCAUCGAAAACGAAUAUUUGUGUGCUUGGCAAUGGCAUGGCGAAUCACGUGAGAUCUUUUCUUGGUGUUGUACCCGCACACCUUGCACACGAAAUGCUUGUCCUCUCCGUGCAUUUGGUAAACCAAUUCAUUUGCAUUUUCUGGAGUGAAAAUAGAUUUAAGCUCGCACCUACCUAGGCAAGGCAGAAGAGGCGCUACCUCUGUCCAAGGAGGCCUCUACCCUCCUUCUAAUGAAAAGGAAUCCUACGUUGAAAAGCAUUGAAAAAGAAACCAAGGCAUUCUCAUGAACUGGCGAGGUGGAG
Molecule: long non-coding RNA, 671 nt
Organism: Tigriopus californicus
Lineage: Eukaryota; Metazoa; Arthropoda; Copepoda; Harpacticoida; Harpacticidae
Exons: 3
Source: RefSeq, a predicted model, not a curated record